UAUUCCUUGCCUCUGGAACAGCCAGGAUCCCUUUACAUUUGAGCUGAAAUGUAUACAUUACACAUAUAUGUUUUUAACUGUACUCAUUGUCUAGCAGUUAGACAUCCCCAGCCUGCCUGAUGGCAUUCCACUCCAGAAGGUGCCAGCCACUCACAGUCCAACCUGAGUCCUCAAAGCCUGGGCUGGCUGGCAGACAACCAUAGGCCUGCCCAGAGCUACAAGGCUUCCAUUACAAUGAGCAAAAUGUGUGAUGGAGAAACAGGAGAGAAAGAGUAGUGGGAUGGUUCAUGUGCUGUGAAAAGAGGAGGAAUAGAAGAUGUGAAGGCAGUGAGGAACAGGCUGAGGUGGGUGGUCUUCUUGUCAUUCAUGGCCAUGGGGUCAUCAGGACCGAAGUUGCUACCAAAGGUCAUUUCUGGGUCUCCAGUCUUAUUGCAGCUUGGAUCUAUGUUAACAUUCAUGGUCCAAGCUGCCACCAAAGGGCACACAGGAGUCUGGAGUCUGUGCUGCAUCCUGUGGCCUUAUUGGCAUCUGAGGGCUGUUCUGCCACUGGAGUGACACUAAGUGAUCUGAGCUGCCAACCGGGGCCAUGGUGUUGGCUGGUAUAAGGGGGUUCUUCUGUCUAUGUCUUGAUUUCAUUGGUUGAAUAAAGAAACUGCCUUGGCCUUUUGAUAGGGCAGCACUUAGAUGGAGUAGACUGAACUGCAUGCUGUGAAGAAGGGCAGUGUGGCAGAUGCCAUGAAGCUCCUGCUUGAGACUGACGCUGGUUAGAAUAUUUUCCGUCCCCCUCUCUCGUCAGCCCAAAGAGCAAUCAGGGUUCCCUGCCCUGUGGGAAGUCCAAGGACCACCCACCUCCAUCCAGGUCUAGUAAGAUAUUUGACUCCAGAAUGAACUCUCUCUUCUUCCUUCGAG
Molecule: long non-coding RNA, 909 nt
Organism: Alexandromys fortis (reed vole)
Lineage: Eukaryota; Metazoa; Chordata; Mammalia; Rodentia; Cricetidae
Exons: 3
Source: RefSeq, a predicted model, not a curated record